RNAcentral lists this ribosomal RNA (255 nucleotides) under uncultured bacterium. RNAcentral describes it as "partial 16S ribosomal RNA". It matches the Rfam family "Bacterial small subunit ribosomal RNA", at positions 135 to 390 of the family's 1533-position model. The record is from RNAcentral.
ACACACGGAUAACAUACCGAAAGGUAUGCUAAUACGAGAUAAUAUGCUUUUAUCGCAUGGUAGAAGUAUCAAAGCUUUUGCGGUACAGGAUGGACCCGCGUCUGAUUAGCUAGUUGGUGAGGUAACGGCUCACCAAGGCGACGAUCAGUAGCCGACCGGAGAGGGUGAUCGGCCACAUUGGAACUGAGACACGGUCCAAACUCGGACGGGAGGCAGCAGUGGGGAAUAUUUCAAAGGGGGCGAAAGCCUGAUGCG